CCAGUAGUAGCCGAGUUGGUCAGGCGGGCACCUGCAAAGUGUCUGUGACGUGGGUUCGAAUCCCACCUACUGGU
RNAcentral lists this transfer RNA (74 nucleotides) under Spirochaetes bacterium GWB1_59_5. Its description in RNAcentral is "tRNA-Cys". It matches the Rfam family "tRNA". From Rfam's summary of the family: Transfer RNA (tRNA) molecules are approximately 80 nucleotides in length. Their secondary structure includes four short double-helical elements and three loops (D, anti-codon, and T loops). Further hydrogen bonds mediate the characteristic L-shaped molecular structure. tRNAs have two regions of fundamental functional importance: the anti-codon, which is responsible for specific mRNA codon recognition, and the 3' end, to which the tRNAs corresponding amino acid is attached (by aminoacyl-tRNA synthetases). tRNAs cope with the degeneracy of the genetic code in two manners: having more than one tRNA (with a specific anti-codon) for a particular amino acid; and 'wobble' base-pairing, i.e. permitting non-standard base-pairing at the 3rd anti-codon position. The record is from RNAcentral. Lineage: Bacteria; Pseudomonadati; Spirochaetota.